UAUAUUCCUUGAUUUUUUUUUUUUUUUGUCAACAUCUAGUUUUCAUAGGUUUUUUCUUUGAUAUAUUGUGGUCCUUCCCUGACUAAUGCAUUUCUUUGGAGUCGCAGGAGAAGUGCAUUCUGUGCAGUGCAUUGCAGAAUAUGUGGAAUUUGAGUGUUGCCCCAAAGUGAAUUUAUUUAAUAUUUUGCAAAAAGAAACGAGAACUAUACUUUUGUGUCAAGUACUUUUUAAAUCAUUUGUCAGUGACCAAAUGGCUAACACUGUUUUUGAUUCUAACAGAGCUUGUAACCCUAUUAGGAAUUAUAUUAGGCAGUGCUCAUGGAGAAGGGUGAUCAUUUUGGCCUUGAACCUAAACUAGGUUUUUGAGAAAUGCAGAUUUAAUCAUAUUUGUUAUCCCUAGGAGUCCAGUCUAUGGAGUACCUGAAAUUUUUUCAUAAAAGAGUAUUUUAGAAUAAAUUCUUUUAAAGCAGGACCUUUAUUCUGAGAGUAGGUGGAUUCUUUGGAGAUACAGUGUCCUCAGGUGUCUGUGAGCCAGAUUUCUGGUGCACAUCCAGAGUACUGGGCAGCCACCUCGGCUGGUUUCUUCCAGAUUAUUUCAUUGUGACUUACCGCUGGAAAGGCACUAUUAUUUUUUGCUCUGUUAUGGAAGGAAUUUGCAACUUUACAUCUCAAAAUAUUAAGUUUUUUAAAAAGACUUAAGAUCCAGUUUUCCUGUUGGACUAUAAAUGCCAAGUAUUUUCUGAAGAUUGUGAUUCUGUGAGCAGCCUAGCCAUGCAGUCCCAAAUACUAAUUUUUGCUGGUUUUUAAUGAUAUGAAUGGCUGAAGUUAUUUUUCUACAAACAAAAACAUGCAGAACAACUUUAGAGCUGCUAAGCUUUUUCUCAUUUGCUUAUAUUUUGUAAAUUUUCAAAUAGUGUUGGGUUUUCAUUAUUUUUCUCAAGGUACAAUUACCUGUUUCAUCCUUUUCAAGCAACUUAAAUGUGUUUUUUAUCCUGUUCAAAUAAGAGUUGUUUGAUUUGUUAAGCUGUAUGAAAUCAGAAAUUUCUAUGAACUUCUUCACGAGGUUUGCUGUAAAUUUUUUUCCUGUAAAAUUUUAAUGACUGUGUUUAACAAAGUAAAUCAUAUAAACACACACACACACACACACACACACACACAGAGUCUGUUUAGCCAAAACACUAGCAACAUUCCAAAAGUAGGCCGACUGACAUUUGCUUACAGUCAUCACCAGUAUUUUGCAAAAAGGGAACAGGCUUAUUGACAUUUUAAAUGUCCAAACUAUGAGAUUUAGACUUUUGUAAUGUUUUCUGCUCUAAUUAAUUCUCAGUUUGCCUUGUGUGUAUUUUUCAUAACACUUAGUCUUUAUCAUUGGGGCCUUUAAUACUUCGGAUAAUUUAGGUUUUUACAAAAUUUGUGUAAGCUUGUGACUUAGAGAAAUCAUAGUGGGGGAGCAUACAUUCUGUUCAUCUUUUUUUUCAGUGUCAGAUUUUUAUUGUCAGGGUCGUUAGGAAGAUACACACCUUCUUAACUUGGUUAACUUAAGUUGCAACAAGCACUUAGCUUCUGUCUAUUAUGUCUUAUAAUUUUUUUUUCUUUCUAGUCCCAGGACUCUGCCUUCUCUGUGCAUCCCCCUCUAACAGGAUGUCUUGGUUUACUUUUUCUCUGAUGUUGGCCAUGUGGAUGGGCCAGUUUUAACCUUUUACUAUCCUUAUCCUUUGGGGUGGGUUCCUGUUUCUCAGCUAUCUUGGGAACUCCUGCUGUCUGAUUGUGGUGUUUGCAUGUUCCUUAACUCUAAACCAUUAACUCUUCAAGCACACCAGCUGUGCGGUGAGAGCUGUUUGUUAUUCUAAAUAUUUUUAUUCUUGGAGACCUGUUGUGGAACAGUCUCCCCAGGACUUCCGUUGUCAUCAUGUAUCUGGGUAGCCAGCACAGACCUCCGGCUCCCAGGUUUGUCUAUAAAGAGAUGGCAGCAAGUCCGAUGGAGAGAGGUGUGCACUCAGGCCUGAAUUCUGCAUAGGAAUUUGCCACUUGCUAGUUGUGUGGUGUGGGAGGGAGUCACGUCGUCUCCCCACACCUGUUUCUUAGUCUGUAUGAUGUUGAUCAGACUGGAUAUGGCCACAGAACUCCAGGCAUUCUGAAGAGAUGCCUCAGGGACCCUUUCAGAGAAGGGCUAAUGAGGGCUAAUGAGGACUCAUUUGCACUGGUCAUUGGCCAGCAUGAAUCACCAGGCCUGUAUGUCAAUGUAUUAUAAGAAAUGUCCAAACAUGUGGAGAAUUUUUAUGAGUUUAUAUGAGCCAGAAUAACAACAUAUACCAGGGAGCAUGAUCUCAAAUGCUCUGCUCUGUUCAUCUUAAAUUUCUUUAAUGUUUUUGGUCAGAGAAAUAGUGUUUGUAGGGGAGAAUGUUUUAGAGGUGCUGCUUGUUUAGUUUUGAAGUUUUUGUGAUGCCAUGGUGUAUUGGACAGAGUUUGAGAAAUUGAUCUAAGAGUGUCCUCAGUUUGUAUCUAUUUAAACCCUGUAAUUAAAGACUUUUCCCAUGAGGCCUCAGUGAGAAGGAAGUACAUUGAACAGAAAAGAGAGGAAGUAAAUUUAAAAAUCAAGUAAACAAUAAUGCUUGAUAUUUUUCACACGAAUGCUAGGUUGAUUAUAUACAUAAUCACCACUUUCCCACUAUUCUGCAAAGUGACUACCAUUCUGUUUUACAGAUGAGGAGACUUAAAGUUCAAAGAGUUUAGGUGACUGGCAUAGAGACCCAUAGUUGGUAAGUGGUGGAGAUGAACUUGAAAGCUUGCCUCUUAAUCACUCGGCCUUACUGUCUCCCAGUAUUUGAUUAUUCCCGUACUGCAGAGGAACUCCUUUACCAAAUCUCAGUGUUUCUAGGCUGUGUCUCUGCAGAAACCAAACAGUUGUGUGUUCACUGAAAUGUGUAAAAAGUAGCUCUAUUUCUCCAUCUUUUCUUAUAUUUUAUUGAAGGUCUAAAAUUUCUCCAGUUGCCCUAGUGUUUUCAUUGUACAUGGAGUCCUUGGUUGUUUAGUCUGAAGGUGAAGAGCACUAAAAACAGGCCGUAUGGGGACCAGUAUAUAGGAAAGCCAUUAUCUUACAUAGCUACAUUUUAAAUUUUAAGCUGUCAGGAUAAGGUAUGUCACAAAGACAGCUGCAGUCUAUUCAAGUUACGUUUUCCCUAAAUUGAAUCGGCCCUUUAAAAGAAAUGCUGCUUCCCUUUUACAGGACUCUGUAUAAACUAUUAAAAGUACUUCAAAAGGGUUAGUGUCGGAUAUCUCGAAUCAGAUAAAAACAAAGGUGUAACAUGAAGCAACUAAAUUACCAAAUGUGAGCUUAAUGAUUGUGACCCAAAUAAACAGACUUGUAAUAGAGAUGCUGAUUGUUAUCAGGACAGUUUAAAUAAAUGCCUUUUACUGUAGAACUGUAAAAAAA
Molecule: long non-coding RNA, 3433 nt
Organism: Phyllostomus discolor (pale spear-nosed bat)
Lineage: Eukaryota; Metazoa; Chordata; Mammalia; Chiroptera; Phyllostomidae
Exons: 2
Source: RefSeq, a predicted model, not a curated record